RNAcentral lists this long non-coding RNA (598 nucleotides) under Ananas comosus (pineapple). Its description in RNAcentral is "long non-coding RNA (ACOM_LNC010399)". The record is from RNAcentral. Lineage: Eukaryota; Viridiplantae; Streptophyta; Magnoliopsida; Poales; Bromeliaceae.
AAAUUUUGACAUUAUUUCAAAAUUUUGAUAUAAAUUUUUGGGGCAAUUGCCUAUAUACCCCUGAAAAGUUUUCAAUUUUCUUAUUUACCCCUCUUAGAAAGCUAUUAAGUUCCAUCAGUUACCUGUCGUUAUCUCUGAAAAAUUACCAUUUUGCCCAUUCCAAUAUACCCUUGUACGGUAACUAACUUAUUUUAUAUACCCUUCAUAUAGCAAAUAUUUUUCUUAUUUGUCCUUCAAAUAUCAAUUAAUUAAUUAAGCAUGUCGGGAGCGAGCAGAUGAACGGAUGAGAUCGAUCACAGCUAAACCAACCUUAGUGGCUAGAGGCAUAGUUAGUUAAUUCGGAUUCGGCAAAAAUUCGGUACAUAUAUAAUUCGAAUAAAAUUCGUCUUUUAAUUUUUAAAUUUGAUGAAAAAUACAGCUAAAAAAGGGAUUCGACAAUUAUUCAGAUACGUGAUUUAUACGGGUAUUAUACGUUCACCAAUUAAAAAUUUGGGAUUAAAAAUUCGGCUAUAUAAUAAAUAUAUAAUAAUUAAUAUACUAUAUAUAUUAUUAUUAUAAAUUUUAUAUAUAGAUUAAAUAUAUUUAAAAUUAUAAUAAA